CAACCCCCUCCUCCCGUCUUAUCCUUCCUAGGCGUCUCUGCCUUUCCUCGCCAUUCUGCAGCUUUCCCUGGUUUCUUAUUUUUCUUUUCUAUUCAUUUUUUUCCAACUGCUUUGCCCAUGGCUUGCUCGAUCCUUUGCUGUGACUUUCUCGUCCUGUUUGUAUGAAAGACAGUCUUGCACUUGAACCUAAAAUCCUAGCAGACUUUGGGAUGUUAUUGCCUCCUGAGGAACAGACUUCUCAUGCUGGGUUUCAGGGCUUUCCGUCCUUAUCAAAGAGCUUUCCUUUUUGUAAUCUACAACAGGUUAUACCUUUCCUCAGCCAGAGACCACAACCCUGUUUAUUAAAAAAUGAUUAUCUUUAUUCACUCUUUUGCCUACUUUGUGAAAUAGCUGAUCAUGAGAAGUCUACAUUAUUUCCAUGGAGAACACUGCCUCUGUCCUGUCAGUUUCAUGGCACUCAGGACUGGAAAGAUGUGCCUCUCUCAAGAGAAAUCACUCACUGGGCCUCCAAAGAACUGUCUGGGUCCACCUGCUCUCAGAUGAGUAAAAGGAGAGAGAUGAAGUUUUACAAAUGUAAUGAGAGCAGCAGUGGCCUGAAUAGGAAUUAUAAGAGAUGAACUGAAAGUGUGCUGGGCUUUUGCAACCCAGGAAAUGGAAAUGCAAUAAACAGACCUCUGUUCUUUCAUGCCAGGGUUGUGUAAAUUUUUAUUUUUCUAUGGGAAAUGCUAUUAGAUUGCGGAAAUGACAAUCAACAUAGG
Molecule: long non-coding RNA, 758 nt
Filed under: Homo sapiens (human)
Lineage: Eukaryota; Metazoa; Chordata; Mammalia; Primates; Hominidae
Description: HSALNT0087074
Source: RNAcentral